CAAACGGAUCAAGGCUCGAACAUGGAUCCAAGGCCCAGGAUGCUGAGACCUCAUCUCAUUUUAAUACUCGCAGUCAUUGUUCUUGAUGGUACCAUGUUGGCUGACAGCUUAAAUAUAAGACUUGUCAAUACGUACGGGGUCUGUUCUGGUAGAGUGGAAAUCUAUCAUAACGGCCAGUGGGGAACAGUAUGUGAUGAUAAGUGGGAC
Molecule: long non-coding RNA, 207 nt
Organism: Pygocentrus nattereri (red-bellied piranha)
Lineage: Eukaryota; Metazoa; Chordata; Actinopteri; Characiformes; Serrasalmidae
Exons: 3
Source: RefSeq, a predicted model, not a curated record